Long non-coding RNA from Gadus macrocephalus (Pacific cod), 672 nucleotides. RefSeq lists it as uncharacterized. The transcript has 2 exons. NCBI's taxonomy places the organism in Eukaryota, Metazoa, Chordata, Actinopteri, Gadiformes, Gadidae. The record is from RefSeq and is a predicted model, not a curated record.
CUGAACAGCCCAGACAAAUAUUGCUACCAACAUGGCACUUCGAAACAGACCACCGCAGUGAGUAAAAGUUAUUUUCCUUUAUUAAAUGUUGACGUUUUUGGGCUGUCUCCUCAGACACAAGCCAUCAGUAUCCCUGCUCUUUGCACCUUGACAUGCAUGUCGCUGCUGUUUGUUAACCUAGCUUUGCUGAUUUGUAUCUUGUGGUGUGUGUGUUUUUCUUAACAGGUGUUAGAUGACUGACAAGAUCUAUGGGGGGGCCCCCUUUGGGCCCCCCCAUAACAACUUAGUCUUCAAAGGAAUCUAGUGCCAUGGGACUCCAGUGUCUUCAAAACAUCCUCGGAAUACAUGUGUAUGAAUGGUGAUUAGUCACACUGGGUGUGUGCUAAAGUUUUGUUCCAUUUUUCACUAGUUGGUUAAGGUUUGGUAGAAUUGUUUGGAUGCUAGCGACGUGAUGGCGUAUGUACAAGAGCCUACCGUGGCCAGGCCACAGUUGCGACGGUCACGGCCAGAUGGCCUAGUGUGAGUGCAACCUUGAUUGCAUUUGUAUGCUGUUUACCAUUGGAUGUUUAUGCAAUUUGGCUUAAUUCAUCCGCAGUAAAGCUGCAUUUGACUAUUCCAGGGUCGUUUUGUACAGGCUUUCAAUUGACCAUGUUGACUAGUUUGUGGGAUUUU